Molecule: ribosomal RNA, 462 nt
Filed under: uncultured bacterium
Lineage: Bacteria
Description: partial 16S ribosomal RNA
Rfam family: Bacterial small subunit ribosomal RNA
Source: RNAcentral
CCUACGGGAGGCAGCAGUGAGGAAUAUUGGUCAAUGGACGCAAGUCUGAACCAGCCAUGCCGCGUGCAGGAAGACGGCUCUAUGAGUUGUAAACUGCUUUUGUACGAGGGUAAACGCAGAUACGCGUAUCUGUCUGAAAGUAUCGUACGAAUAAGGAUCGGCUAACUCCGUGCCAGCAGCCGCGGUAAUACGGAGGAUUCAAGCGUUAUCCGGAGUGACUGGGUGUAAAGAGUUGCGUAGGUGGCAUAAUAAGUAGCUAGUGAAAUCUGGUGGCUCAACCAUUCAGACUAUUAGCUAAACUGUUAAGCUCGAGACCGUUAGGGGUAACUGGAAUUUCUAGUGUAGGAGUGAAAUCCGUAGAUAUUAGAAAGAACACCGAUGGCGUAGGCAGGUUACUGGGACGGUUCUGACACUAAGGCACGAAAGCGUAGGGAGCAAACGGGAUUAGAUACCCGAGUAGUC